RNAcentral lists this long non-coding RNA (1977 nucleotides) under Homo sapiens (human). RNAcentral's name for it is "HSALNT0343064". The record is from RNAcentral. Lineage: Eukaryota; Metazoa; Chordata; Mammalia; Primates; Hominidae.
GCAAAGAGGCGCUACACUCCAAGGCGGCCCUUUGGAACCGUCCUUGGCCCGGGUGCACCUACUUUGGAUUCGCCCAGACUGCAAAUUUUUCUUUCCUUUUGCUGGGGCCACGGGACAGAGCACCUGGGCAGAGCAAGCGGAGAGGCGCCACAUCCCCGAGAGGCGCUUCGUAGUUGUCCUUGGACCGGGCGCAGACACUCAGUAUUGGUCAGCGCUGGAAAUUUUCUUUCCUUUUGCUGUUGGGGCCGCAGAACCAGUCUCCUCCUUUCCCCUGCUCAGACAAAGGGCACGGGAAGGGCUUUGCUGGGGCAAAGGGGGGUGGGGGGUUCUCUGUCCCACGACAGAUGGGUCGCGGUUAAGACUUUAAUUGCUGACUUUUGGGCCGGAUCAGAUUCCUUUUCCUACCUGCCACUUCCCAGCAGCGAAAAAUCCCCCUCCUGCUGCACUCCUCCGCCACCGGGCUAGGUUGAAAGGAAAAAGCCAAGAAGCGCGAAGCAGCCCGGCUCUGGAAGGCUUUGGAGAGUCCAGCUGACUUGUACACAAUUCGCGGCCUCUGGAGCCUUACCUGCCUUCUUGACUGAAUGCCACCAGUUCGUUUUACGCUUGUGGCUUUUUGUUGAAGUCCCUAUCAUAAGCAAAUGCAGUUUCUGGCUAUGGUUACUGCAAUUCGAAAUAAAAGGUAAUAAGAUAAUAGAGCCAUACAUUACCAAAUAAGCCAUAAUCUCUAAUCUCUUAUUCCUUGAUAUGUCACAAAAUACUAUUGAUUUUUUUAAAUUAAAAAUGGAUUGGAAAAUAUUAUAACUAAUUCCACUUUCUGCCCUAGUUCAUUGACUUGUCCCUGGUCAUGUUUUUAGAGUUUUCUGGCCUGUUCAACGUCUCUGACCCCCAGCCCCUUCACCAAGAGCAACAGUCUGCUUUCUCUUUGCUUUAGCUUGUGAGCUAAGGGAGGAGAGACGAAAGCAUUAUUAUUAUUCUGACAUCACCCCCCACCCCAGCCUUGACAUUCAAGCACAUCUACACUUUUUCCUGUUUAAUACAUAGCACCAAAGGCAACACACUGUACUUCUAGAAGGAAAAACACGUUUUUUAAUUCCUCUGCGUUUUCUGCUUAUAGUCUUUAUCUCUGGCUGGUCUUUUGUUAUUUCUUUUGGUGUGUGAUGGAGGCAGGGUGACGGGAUGGGACACAAAUAGCAAAGGUCUAUAAGGUUCAAGGAAAGAGUUUCUGAAUACCUCAGAUUACUUAAUACACAACGGGAACUAACUUUCCAACACGUUAGCAAACAUAUUGGCAACAAGUUCAAAUUUAAGGCUACUAGUGUGCUUUUAGUUAGUUUGGUAGCAAAUAAAGAAUUUUUGCUAAGUUCCUAAAGCAAUGUGAAGGACAGUAUCACAGGUUAUAAAUGUGGGAAGGGUUGAUUAACUCACAGAGCCCUCCUCUCUUUGGGGGAAGAAGUGUGAGGGUGGAUUAUUUGUCUCUAGACCUUUGUUGUUAUUAUUUCUUUUAUAUUAGGAUUUCAUUUAAACCCAGUGAAAUUAUUUCUCUCAAAACAGCAUUUACAUAGCAAAUCAGUUUGUGAAAGGAAAUGAAGAGCCCAAAUGUGAGAGCUGUUAAUGAGGUGGCAGGCAAUACAGACAGCGAGCACUUGGGCUCAGUUUGUUUCUGACCCUCCACUAAUGCUGAGAUUUUUCUCACCCAUUCCCACAGGCCUGUGAGGUGUGUCCCUCCAGACUGAGAGGCUAUGACUCAGGGUUGGACUUUAUGGAAAAAAAGAAGUUUAUAAAACAAGUAACCCAGUUUCUCCAACCUUUACUGUGGAGCAACAGCGUCAAGCAACAAAACCCAGCAAAGUUUUGCUUGUCACUUACAAGGGUGUUACUGAAAUCUGGAAGGCGAACAAUUAGAAGAUAGCCCAAACAUGCUCUAUUGCUCUACACUGAAAUACUUGCCUCCAAUAAUAGAAAAAACCUGUUUUCGUG